UACGGAGGGUGCAAACGUUGCUCGGAAUCAUUGGGCGUAAAGCGCUCGCAGGCGGUCCCGUGCGUCGUGCGUGAAAGGCCCCGGCUCAACCGGGGGCGGUCGUGCGAUACGGCGGGACUGGAGGCCAGUAGGGGGACGCGGAAUUCCGGGUGUAGUGGUGGAAUGCGUAGAGAUCCGGAGGAACACCAGCGGCGAAGGCGGCGUCCUGGACUGGACCUGACGCUCAGGAGCGAAAGCGUGGGGAGCGAUCCGG
RNAcentral lists this ribosomal RNA (253 nucleotides) under uncultured bacterium. Its description in RNAcentral is "partial 16S ribosomal RNA". It matches the Rfam family "Bacterial small subunit ribosomal RNA", at positions 524 to 776 of the family's 1533-position model. The record is from RNAcentral.